GGGAGCAGCAACUACAUGCUAUGUGGCAUUGAAUCCGCAAGUUAAAGGGGUUAGCGGUGAAUAUUUUGUUGACAGCAACAAAGCAGAUCCCAGCGCUACCAGCGUCAUGUCUAAAGAUCCGGAAUUGGCCAAGAAGCUGUGGGAUUUCAGCUUGAGCUUGACACAAGGCAAGUAGUUUGGUGGCUAAGAAGGAAAUCCCUUCCCAAUGUGUUGGCCUGCUCACUAUGCUAGCUAAUACGUACUUCAGACCUUGUGUGUGCUUGAUUAUAAAUUGUAAUUUCAGUUCCAUAUUAUGUGUGUUUGUGUGCUUAAAUAUGAGAGAACAAUUUUACAGACCUUGUGUAAUGUGCAAUUUUAGUUCCAUAUUCAGCAUGUAUUGUUUGUGUUGUGUGUAUAACAAGUCAAUUAUUAUAUGGAAUGAAGGUAGUAGUAAAGUUUGUCCAACAAUUCAUAAAUCUUUUUGAAUACAAACUACCACAAGAGGCCAUUGGGCAGAGGUA
RNAcentral lists this long non-coding RNA (500 nucleotides) under Panax ginseng (ginseng). RNAcentral describes it as "long non-coding RNA (PGIN_LNC012739)". Lineage: Eukaryota; Viridiplantae; Streptophyta; Magnoliopsida; Apiales; Araliaceae. The record is from RNAcentral.